CCUUGGGUCCGGCAUAACCCCGGGAAACUGGGGAUAUUCCGGAUAACGCACAUAUGCUGGAAUGCUUUUUGCGUAAAAUGGAUUCGUCUGCCCAAGGAUGGGUCUGCGGCCUAUCAGGUAGUAGUGGGUGUAAUGUACCUACUAGCUACGACGGGUACGGGUUGUGAGAGCAAGAGCCCGGAGAUGGAUUCUGAGACAUGAAUCCAGGCCCUACGGGGCGCAGCAGGCGCGAAAACUUUACAAUGCGGGAAACCGUGAUAAGGGGACACCGAGUGCCAGCAUCCUAUGCUGGCUGUCCGGGUGUGUAAAAUACACCUGUUAGCAAGGGCCGGGCAAGACCGGUGCCAGCCGCCGCGGUAACACCGGCGGCCCGAGUGGUGAUCGUGAUUAUUGGGUCUAAAGGGUCCGUAGCCGGUUUGGUCAGUCCUCCGGGAAAUCUGACAGCUCAACUGUUAGGCUAUCGGAGGAUACUGCCAGACUUGGAACCGGGAGAGGUAAGAGGUACUACAGGGGUAGGAGUGAAAUCUUGUAAUCCCUGUGGGACCACCUGUGGCGAAGGCGUCUUACCAGAACGGGUUCGACGGUGAGGGACGAAAGCUGGGGGCACGAACCGGAUUAGAUACCCGGGUAGUCCCAGCCGUAAACGAUGCUCGCUAGGUGUCAGGCAUGGCGCGACCGUGUCUGGUGCCGCAGGGAAGCCGUGAAGCGAGCCACCUGGGAAGUACGGCCGCAAGGCUGAAACUUAA
Molecule: ribosomal RNA, 746 nt
Filed under: uncultured soil archaeon
Lineage: Archaea
Description: bacterial SSU rRNA
Rfam family: Archaeal small subunit ribosomal RNA
Source: RNAcentral